GUUGGAUAAACUUGGAGCAAGCUGGGCUGGUGGAAGGUGUCCCUGCCCAUGGCAGGGGAGUUUGGUACUGAAUGAUCUUCCAUGUCCCUUCCAACCCAACCCACCCUGUGAUUUUGUGAUUAACCACGGGGGUUUCUCAGCAGCCCACCGAGGAGGGCCCUGCACAUUUGUGUCCCAUUAGAGGUGCUGAUAAGCCCUUCCCUGCCAGGCCAGCCCUGCUGAUGCUUGUAGGCCCUUCACAGGGGUGAAUAUAAAUACAAUAAUGAACUACAAACAAACAUUACGAGCAAGGAACUGGUCACAGCUUUGAUUUCUUUCCUGACUGAACACAUCCAGCUGUGACAUCCACUUCUCCCCUCCGGUCUGGGGUGUGACUCAGCAGUGGCCCAAGAGAUUAAUGCUGAACCCAAAUCCUCCCGUUGCUGCUUUAACUGUUUGUUCCCAACUGUUUGCUGUGGAAAUUAUUUCACGGGAUUGGUGAUUGGUGAUUCAGUGCUAUCCAGGGAAUCCCCUUGAACCCCUCAUGGAUUGACUCAUCCCGUUGCUCAUCGGGUCCACCUGCUCAGGGCAUAACUGUGGUAUAAAUCCCCUCCCUGUCAGGGCUGAGGGUCCCAGCUGGGGUGGCACAUGCUGAGUUUGACUUGUUUGUUGACCUUGAUUUUGUGCCUCAUAACCUUGGCCUGGCUGUGAGAGAUUCUAAACUAGUGUUGAUCUAAGAAGUACCUGAACUUCUUCAGCUCUCAGGAAGGUGGCACAGGCAGAUGAGGACCCUGAUCGUGGAUUUUACACACGUGCAGGCAACUGAGGUGUCCUCACCAGUGAAACCAAACUCAACAGCUCUGAUGUGAUUCGGUUCUAAAAUGUUCUUAUAUUCCUCCUGAGGAAGAGGGGGAGAAUCAGCUGGUGAAGCUGAAGUCAAACCAGAAGGGAUUAGAAAGGGCAAGAAGAAUUUCUCCGUGGCAAGGGUGGUCAGGCCUUAGCAGGGGCUGCCCAAGGGGGUGGUGGUGAUGUCCAAGGAAGGAUUAGACAUGGCACUCAGUGCUCUGGGCUAAGGGACAAGGUGGGCAUUGGGCACAGGGUGGACUGGAUGAUCUUGGAGCUCUUUUCCAACCUCAGUGAUUCCCUGAUUCUGUGGUAGAUGGCUGAGAGACAGAAAGUCCAACAAUGCUGCUUCCCACGGGCACAUUUACAGGGUUUAGGCCUCCCAAGGGCUCUGCUCUGAGAAAAAACUUUUCCCCUUUAUCCUUCUGAACGGGAUUUUUGUUCACAGAAGUGGUCCUGUGGUGACAUUCCCUGGAGCUCCUGUACCAGUCAAUGCAGUUAGAGGAUAACCAUGCUUGGAACUCCUGAUGAAGAGUUCAAGGAUCACCUCUCAGUCACAACACUGACUGAGCUCCAGCCUCUGAAGCAAAAAGCCUCUCUGGCGAGCGGGCUGGAGCAGGAGCACUCCAGCCUUGCUGAGUAACGGCAUCAUCUGACCAGAGCUGGCAACCAAACCCCCUUCAGGCAAGUUCAGGGGACAGCUGCCGAGAUCUGGGUCAGCUCAGCUCUGUGGUUGAGUUCAGACUUCAGGGAUAAGGCCUAGGAUAAUGUUCUUUCUCUCUCCUUUUUAGGUAACUGCUUCGAUUCGUAACGAGCCGCCGAUUUUGGAGGCUGCAGAGAGAGAAACUCUGGAGCGUCUGGGACAUGUUUGGCUUUGACAAAGACUUUCCAGCUUCUCAGUUCAGGACAGGCUGGUUUCAGAUAUCUUAUAUUUAACUUUUCUGGGUUUCUUAGUCUAUGUAUUUCUUAACCUGUGAUUUUUUGUUCUUUCCCCCUGAAUCUUCCUGUUCACAGCAAAAACUUUGUGUCAGACACCCUCUGCAUCCCACUCCCAGUGCAGAAAUACAUGGAUGCUCUGGUUUAUUCUCUACCCAAACCAGACAUCUUCUGGGAGGAAAGGGUCACAGGAUGAUGAUGAUGAUUCUUUUUAUAAGCAGAUGUGAGGAAAAGGAACAAACCCUCUUAAGAGCCAGUCCAAAAAUGACCAGAGGCACUGUUUUGCAACCCACUAAAUCCAAACCUCUCUAAUAGCUCUUCCUUCCCUAACCUCUCUUUUUGUCCGGAAGACAAAGGUCAAUUUUGUAUUUUAAAAAAAAAGCCUAUCAAAGAUUUCAUGAUUGCACCGUUGGCCACGGUUCAAACAGUACAGGCAGGAAAGAAUGUCCAGCUGUCAAGUGUAAACACAAAUGGGUACAGCUCAGAAGUGCUUCAGACAAAUCAUUGUAUGUCAUCGGCUGCUUUUAAUUAAGAACAGACCAAAUAUUCUCUCCCCUUCCCCCCCCCCCCCCUCUUUCUUCUCCCCCCUUUUUUCACCCACCCCUUCAGCAACUUAAAACAAAGAUGAUUUGUAGGGUAUUGUCUUCUUGGUGUCUGUCCUGGUGGAAGUCAGCAAGUGAGUAUGGGAAGAGCUCGACUCCAAGUUCAAAGCGGAUUCCGACAUCCCGAGGAGACCACAGAUUGUAAUCUGGGAACUGCAACAGCCAGAGCUUGGACUUGCACCUUCCCACUUUCUGCAGGGAAAGUCUUCCUUUAGGAACAGAACCCCUGUUCUCAUCUCAGUCCCUGUUUCAGAGCAGAUUUCAGGCUGAUCACCUCCAUUGAGGGAGUUCCUUCCUCGUGUGCCUGGUGCUGGCACCAGCUCUGGGCAGGAGGGAAACGUAUUUAAGUUUUAUCCUAUUUUUAGAAGUGAGACAUUAAUCAAUAGACUCUCCUGGGUGGGCCUGAGCUGGAGGCAACACAAAGGAACAGAGGGGAAGUUGUGGUGCACACGUUAUUUGUGUUUAUUUAUCUAGUUUAUGAUCCCUUCUCUGGAUUCCCCACUUUGGUGUUCUGCUGUCGCUGGUACAGUUCUCUUCUGACUCUGAGACUUCCAAAAGUAACAUCCAUCAGUCAAGACCUUAUAUCCAAGGACCUGACCCUGAAAAAAAAUACCUUUACAGUCAUCUCUCUCACAGAAUCAGAGAAUCAUAGAAUAGUCUGGGUUAAAAGGGACCUUAAAGAUCAUUUAAUUCCAACCCCUGCCAUGGGCAGGGACACCUUCCACUAGCCCAGGUUGCUCCAAGCCCUGUCCAACCUGGCCUUGGACACUUCCUGGACUUGCUCUGAGGACACCACAGUGAUAACAAUAAUAAUGUCACUGGUGGUACAUCCUGAAAGGAUUGUGGGGUGGCAUGAAAAAAUCUUCCAUGAUUCUCUACUGCUGUAUCUCCAUACUUCUGCAUUUGCAAGAUGAAUAGGUGGGGAGAGGUUUUUAGCUGUUGCUGUCAUUGAAAUUCCACCUCUUUUGGGCACCAGGAAUUUUCUCUGCCGCUCAAGCAAGAUAGAAGGGGUGUUUUUUUUCCUCAGAGAGCAGUUUGUAGCUCCCCACAUGAAAGGAAUUCCUGGCAGACAUCAUCCCGUGUGCUACAGACCACGGAGAGGAGGAGAUGUGAUUGGGAAAGGCAGCACGGGCUGUUUCCAUGUUUGUUCAUUAGGAAGAGGUAGAAACAAUGAGAAAAAAACCAGUGAAUUGAUGGAAUUAUGGAAUGUCCUGGCAUAGAAGGGACCUCAGAGAUCAUCUGGCUACAACCCCCCUGCCAUGGGCAGGGACAGCUUCCACCAGCCCAGGUUAUGAAACCUGGCCUUGGACACUUCCAGGGAUCCAGGGGCAGCCACAGCUUCUCUGGGAAUUCUACCCCAGCCCCUCCCCACCCUCCCAGCCAGGAAUUCCUUCCCAAUAUCCCAUCUAACCCUGCCCUCCUUCAGUUGAAGGCCAUUCCCACUUGUCCUACACCACAGCUACAUAUUCCUUCUGCUCCAGGCCCAGGUAGUUAGGCUGGAGAAAAGGGAUUUGGGACUUUAUUGCAUCUUCAAACGUUUAAAUACUGUCAAUUAAUGUUAAAUUUAGUGCCUGAAUCUCUGCACAGGGGCUAAACCACUUUCAUGUUUCCUCUCCUUUUCCACCAUUUCUUCCUCUUGCAAAGGAGGAGAACAAUCACAAACCAGUCGGUGGAAACCAAAAGAAGGUGAGAAUUUUAUGAAGGUUCCGUGGAGACACAACAGCUGAGCCUUGUCUCUGUGUCUACAAGCAGCUGAAUUUGUACCAAAAAAAAAACAAACAAACCCAACAAGACAAAAGAAAUGCAAAUGAUGGCAGAAACAUGAGAGGAAUUAAGAAGACAUAUGGAGAUCUCCGUGAAACAUGGCCUCUAAAUUUGCUAGGAAACAUGUUUCCUAUUUGCUUCACACGUUCCAGUGUCUGGUUUGAGUGCAGCAGAAGCAGCUUUUCUUUCUAUUCCGUGGGGGGUUGGUGUAAUAUGUGUAUUAAUUUAUGAAACAUAACUCAGUGCCCACAUGUAUGUAUUUGGCACAUUAAUUGUGACUGUUCUAUAUAACAUACAUGCAUUAAAGUGUGUUUAUGGCA
Molecule: long non-coding RNA, 4444 nt
Organism: Pseudopipra pipra
Lineage: Eukaryota; Metazoa; Chordata; Aves; Passeriformes; Pipridae
Exons: 2
Source: RefSeq, a predicted model, not a curated record